Molecule: long non-coding RNA, 11232 nt
Filed under: Gossypium barbadense (sea-island cotton)
Lineage: Eukaryota; Viridiplantae; Streptophyta; Magnoliopsida; Malvales; Malvaceae
Description: long non-coding RNA (GBAR_LNC003353)
Source: RNAcentral
GCGGCGCGAGAGAGAGAACCCUAGGUUUCUGUUUGUUCUAAAAAAAUUUUGGGCCUUUUGUGCCGGUGCACUUUUGGGGUUGGGUCUAGGUUUAAUAUUAAUUUGGGCUUGGUUUUUUUUGUAAUUGGACUGUAAUGGACUGUGGUUUUUUUAUUUGUUUAUUUUAUUUUAUAUUUUCUUUUGGUUUUCUUGUGUUUGCUUGGGUCGGGCAAAUUUGGCCCAUUACAGCUGCUCCUCUUUGCUCAUUGUCGUGUAACGAGAAUGAAGCAAAGACUAUAAAAAGGACCAAAUUUGCUCGGUCUGGCUAAGUCUCAAAGUCUUGAUCCUCAUCUUCCCUAAAGGUAUUCUAAUGUCUUCAGGAGUGUCCAAUUGGCUAUCUUCCACUUGCUUCUUGAAAACUCGGGAACACCAAUCUGUUAUUUUCAAUCUGCUCUCUACCAAUAUAGAUACGCCAAAUCUGUCAUUUUCGAUCUGCCCUCUGACAAUACAGAGACACCAAAUCUAUUAUAUUCGAUUUGCUCUCCGCCACUACAGAGACGCCAAAUCUGUUAUCUUCGAUCUGCUCUCCGGCACUAAAGAGAUGGAAAAUCUGUUAUCUUCGAUCUGCUCUCCGCCAUUAUAGAGACGCCAAAUUUGCUAUCUUCGAUCUACUCUCCGCCAAUAUAGAGACGCUAAAUCUGCUAUCUUUGAUCUGCUCUCCACCAACACAGAGAAGCCGAAUCUGUCAUCUUCGAUCUGCUCUCCGCAACUACAGAGAUGCCAAAUCUGUUAUCUUCGAUCUGCGCUCCGCCACUACAGAGAUGCCAAAUCUGCUAUCUUCGAUCUGCUCUCUGUCAACAUAGAGAUGCCAAAUCUGUUAUCUUCGAUCUGCUCUCUGCCACUUCAGAGAGGCCAAAUCUGCUAUCUUCGAUCUACUCUCCGCCAAUAGGGAGACGCCAAAUCUGCUAUCUUCGAUCUGCUCUCCGCUACUACAGAGAUGCCAAAUCUGUUAUCUUCGAUCUGCACACCGCCACUACAGAGAUGCCAAAUCUGCUAUCUUCGAUCUGCUCUUUGUCAACACAGAGAUGCCAAAUAUGUUAUCUUCGAUCUGCUCUCUGCCACUACAGAGACGUCAAAUCUGCUAUCUUCGAUCUGCUCUCCGCCAACACAGAGACGCCAAAUCUGCUAUUUUUGAUCUGCUCUCCGCCAAUACAGAAAUGCCAAAUCUGCUAUUUUCGAUCUGCUCUCUGCCAAUAUAGAGACGCCAAAUCUGCUAUCUUCGAUUUGCUCUCCACCACUACAGAGAUGCUAAAUCUGCUAUCUUCGAUUUGCUCUCCGCUACUACAGAGACGCCAAAUCUGUCUGGUCUUGUAGGAUCUUUACUUCUUUGGUGCUUCUCUUCUUCAAGUGGCCCCAUUGUAUUUCUAAAGGUGUAAGAACUGUUGCUUUGAUCUACUCCACUGCGGCUACUUGAGGCUUGUUGCUUUAAUCUAUUCUUCCGUAAUUAGCUUGAUCUGUUCUAUCGCGACUUCGAGAAGAUAAGAUCUACAAUCUUCAGCCCAAUUCACUACAACCUUAGGGAGCUAGAACUUGCUUAAAUCUGCUUCGCUGCAUCUUCAGGAAGCCAAGAUUUAUCGUCUUUGAUUUGCCUCACUGCAACUUCAGGGAGACGAGAUCUACAAUCCUCAGCUUACUCCACUACAACUUUAGAGAGCUAGAACUUGCUUAAAUCUGCUUUACUGCAACAUCAGGAAGCCUAGAUUCGCCGUCUUCGAUCUGCCCCACUGCAAUCUCAGGGAAGCAAGAUCUAUAAUCUUCAGCCUACUCCACUACAACCUUAGGGAGCUAGGAUGCUUAAAUCUGCUUCGCUGCAUCUUCAGGAAGCCAAGAUUUAUCUUCUUUGAUUUGCCUCACUGCAACUUCAGGGAGGCGAGAUCUACAAUCCUCAGCCUACUCCACUACAACUUUAGAGAGCUAGGACUUGCUUAAAUCUGCUUUACUGCAACAUCAGAAAGCCUAGAUUCGCCGUCUUCGAUCUGCCCUACUGCAAUCUCAGGGAAACAAGAUCUAUAAUCUUCAGCCUACUCCACUACAACCUUAGGGAGCUAGGAUGGUGGCUUAAAUCUACUUCACUGCAACUUUAGGAAGCUCAGAUUCGUCGUCUUCGAUCUGUUUCACUGUAACUUCAGGGAAACAAGAUCUUGAAAUUUUAGCUUACUCCACUACAACUUUAGGGAGCUAGGUUGGUGGCUUAAAUCUGCUUCACUGCAACUUCAGGAAGCUCAGAUUCGCCGUCUUCGAUCUGCUUCACUUCAAUUUUAGGGAAACAAGAUCUAAAAUUUUAGCCUACUCCACUACAACUUUAGGGAGCUAGGUUGGUGGCUUAAAUCUGCUUCACUGCAACUUCAGGAAGCUCAGAUUUGCCAUCUUCGAUCUGCUUCACUGCAACUUCAGGGAAACAAGAUCUGAAAUUUUAGCCUACUCCACUACAACUUUAGGGAGCUAGGUUGGUGGCUUAAAUCUGCUUCACUGCAAAUUCAGGAAGCUCAGAUUCGUCGUCUUUGAUCUGCUUCACUUCAAUUUCAGGGAAACAAGAUCUAAAAUUUCAGCCCCAUAGGCCCAUGCUUAUGCCGAAUAAUUAGGAUGUUAUGAUCAACAUGAAUCAAUUGUUCCUAACUAGAUGUGAUGUUUGUGUCAAAUAAUUGGAAUGCUAUGAUUGAAAUGAAUCGAAUGCUUCUAACUAGAUGUGUUAUGAAUGAUAUGGAAAUGAAAAAGACCUAGGUAUCAUUGCUCGUUCAUCAGGACAUUAUCACUGACGUAUUACGCGGCCACCUUGUUCAGCUGGUAUUCUUGACAGAAAACCCAAAGAAACUCAAUCUGCUUGGCAAGCUUGCCCUACUGAAAUUUUAUUGAGUUUUUGCUUAUCCAACCCACUGCAACUCAGGGUAUAGGAUCAAUUUGAUCAUCCUUCGGGUGUAAUGACCCGGUGUGCAUGUCUGAUAUUCAUGUGAAUGCGGAAUAUCAUUUUUCUUUUCCUGAUAACAAUCCCUCUUUUACACUUGGGUUGACAUUGCUCGUCAUUUGUCAAGGUUGUAUCACCGAUGAAAUAUCUUGCCUCUUCAUUCAACCGAUACCUUUGAUAGAAAAUCUGAAGAGAUAGCCAUAAUUUAGACUCCUCCUUCUCAAACAUUUCCAUCCCUUAGAUUUGGUGGGUUCUCAACAACAGUCUUGUUUCAGGUUCUUGUACUAUUUAGAAGCCUCUCGAGUAAUAUGCAAGACUUCUUUUAUGAAAGUGUUAUUGGUCCAUUAAUCUUUAUUUCAAUGCAACAUGCUCGAAAAAGAUCAAAACAAUGGACAAGAAGGAAAUUGGGUAAGAGCACAGCUUGAAGCAAAUAAGUUAAUCAAAGAUUGCAAAUGCAACAAGAAGGAAAUUAACUCAACAUGAAUGGGUUAAUCAAAGAUAACGAUGCAAUAAGAAGGAAAUUUAUUGGGAUGUAUCUUGAAAAGAAUAAGGCAAUCAAAGAUAAUAAAUUCAAAAUGAGCAAAAUGGAAACUAGGUGCCCCAGAUAUCGCAGCUUGAGCUUCCCUGUACUAACUUCUUGAGGACCUUUCUGAUCUCAAUAUGUGUUUAGGGGAUCCGCGGCACUUUGUCGAUGCCCCAAGAUGUAGCAUGCUUCUUUAUUGUUAAUUUAGAUAUAGCAAGACUACUGUAUGCCUCACUUUGAUCCAAAUUUGAGCCGCCCUUUCGGGUUUUCAACUCAAAUCCCCCUUGGUCUCAAGGCGCCCUUUGCGGGUUUUCGCUUUGGCCUCUCCUUUUCUUUCUUUCUUUCUUUUUUUUUAUUUUAUUAUUUUUUGAAGAUCUCAGAGUAUCAUUUGAUGGUUUUCGCUGUGGCCUUUCACUUUCCUUCGAAGUCCUUUUAUGUAAAAAAGAACUUUUCAAUGCCAGGUCUCCCUCAUGGAAUCCUCUAGGAAGAACCUUUCCGAUGUAAGCUUGCAUCAUUCAUUUCUGGUACAUUGGGCCAUGUCAUAUGGCUUUCAAUCUCCUUUCUUCAAAUUCAACUGAUCAUAUCGGGGUUAAAUCUAUUCUGCCUAAUCCAACUUCAGCUAAGACUUGACCAAAAGAAAUCUUUCUUUCAAAAUCCAUCGAACAAUGUAUUGCCCCGGCGAAGGUUCUGGCCGACGUUUGACAAAUAUAGAGGGUAAAAGAUAACUUCUUUAUGCCAAUAUUUACAAGACUGGGUCAUUUUUCACUAUGGCUUUUGUUCUAUUGUUUGCUUUUCCCUUUUUUUUUUCUUUUUUUUUAUAUUUUUGAACUUUUUGUCUUUCUUUUUGGAUGCCUUUACUGCACUGUAAUAUGGUGCCUGAUCCUUGAACAAAUUGCAAACUUUUGACAUUGUGUAUUUGAAGAUAAUCCUUUUUGACAUUACUUGUCAGCAACCGCUUCUCUUUUUCUUUCUUCUUUUUUUUUUGAAAUUUGACGACUAUUAAUCUUGUAAUUAUUGACACAUGAAGUGACCCUCACCCCCUUCGUGACUACCAAGAUGAAUUGAUGAGAAUGGCCUGAUAACAUCCUUGCCUCGUAUAGGGAAAAUUUGUGAAGAAAUGAAUGUGGCUUUAACCAAUGUAAUCCUCUUCCAUGGUGGAUCAACAAUAUCUAAACCUCAUGAUUAGCGUAGCUACCAUGAAACCUUUAACAUGUGUCCUUUUGGCACUGUAUAGACAUUUUGUAUCAUCCGCAGAUCUUAAUAUCUCAAAUAUAUCUCGACAUGAUCAUGUGAAAACAUCUUUGAAUUUCUUGAAGUAACUCAAAGACAAUUCAUUUUGUCCCUGUGGUGACUCUGGUUUGAAUCUUUGCCCUUUGUUCACAAUGUCCAUUGACCCUUUGUAAAGUAGGAUCAAUUUUUUCAUCUUGUUCUACCGUCCUUAACAAAUCAGGAAAUAAGUCACAAUCUCUGUCAUCUUCAAGGUCCUGAGAUCCCUCUAGACACAUAUCUUGCUAAAAAAAAGACUCGGAAUUAAUGACAGCGUCGCUCACGUUAUUGAUAUCUGGAGACCUGUUAGAGGUACGAAGGCAUAUUUCAAAGAAUAAAUGAUUCUAUGAAUGAUUAUUUGUAUGGUAUGAUCAUGAAUGAAAGAAUCUAAGAAUAGACAUAUAAAAUAUAAAGAAUAAAAGAAUAUUUACUCAAACAUGUAUUUCAUUGAAAUAAAGAUUUUGGAUAUAAGCUUAUUUCACAAAAGGAUUCUUGUUGCUUCUAGGCUUAAAACAACAAGUGUGUUUUGAAUAUUACUCUAGAUUAGCUCUAAAAAAUACAAAGAUCCUUUUCACAGUCCUAUUGUUCAAAACACCCUAAGUACGUAAAGACAGGAGCUUGGAAAAGUCUACUCCCGGGUUCCCUCUUCUGAUACAUCGUUGAUGAUCGAGUUCCCCAAUACCAGGCCUUGCAUUAGAGUCCCGAACUCGAUGCACCCUUAAAUCUCGUGCCCCAAUCUAGCAUGGAACUCAUAACAUUCACCUCUUUAACAGAAAGGUUGGAUAACUGAUUUCCCGCUCCAGAGGGACCAUCAAAUUCCACAAUACCCAAUUUAAUAAAUCUUUCGAUUAGCUUCUUAAAAGUGAUACAGUUUUCAAUAGAAUGCCCCGUGAUUCCUGCAUGGUAUUCACAUCGGCUGCUUGCGUCAUACCAUUUAGGGUAUGGAGGUUGUAUUGGUUUUAUGUAAAAAAGGGAUACAACACGUGUGUCAAACAGAACGCGGUACAACUCUCCAUAUGUGAUUGGAAUGGGCGUGUAUUGGGGUUUUUCUGAGUUCUAUUUUCGAUUGGGUUCUUGCCUUGAGGAGGCCUAAUGGCUGGUAGCUACUGACCUUGGUCGGCCUGCUAUAAUAGGCUCCGAACGACCCUUGUUAUACCUACUUGUACUAUUUGCCUUCUUUUCUUUCUUUUUCGGGGCCGUUAAAGUCUGCUCUCCCCUUGCUUUUGUUUCUGCCAGAGCAACUGGAUUGGCUUGAUCAUCUUUCGGGUUAAAACUUGAACCCAUCGAGAAACUCAUCAGUGUUGAUGUAUCCGUCUGAUAUUGGUGUCUGAUAACAGCGGGUACCCCUUGCAUGUCUGGUUGGGUCGGGACGCUUAUUAGGGUAAAGCCUAGGGAGUAAAUGAUCUCUUCAACAUCAUCCCCACCAUUGACCACUGGGCCACUCCUUUUUUUGAAUUCUCCGGCCAGUAAAUGGGUUACCUGGCCCAUCAUAUUUCUUUGGAGUUCUAGCAUUUCUCGCAUAUCUUGUUGAAUUUCGAUCAACUGCUCUUGCAUCUGUAUUUGCCUUUGCUCCAUUCUCUCCAACCUUUGGUCCAUAUCUUUUGUCGGUUCUGAAAUAACUUUAUCUAAUUAGGGUCCUUUUGGGAAAUUUAAUGCAAAUGAUGCAAUGCAAUGCUAUGCAAAUGAUGCAAUGCAAUGCAAUGCAAUGCAAUGUAAAUGCAUGGGAUGAAUGCAAAGGAAAGGAAGAUGUUGAUUUUGAAUUCAAUUCCCCUAGAACAACUUUUCUAUAAAACAAAUUCUUUUUCAUAAAACGAAUUACGUAUACGGCCUUGCUUUCAUAUUCGAGGCGAAGGCACUGAUCCCCUUUCUUCGUGAAAGUCAAAUCUCGUAAGCUUCCAAUGCAUGCCUCUACUGGCUCAUUUUGCUUGAUCCAGGCCACGAAUUACUAUCUUCGCAAUGUUAAUUAGCUCCUUUAAGAAAUUCGGGAUAUGAUGGCUUUUGGAUAAUCUUUAUCAACUUGAAUCCUUAGGUAAAGUUUUGUUUUCCUCCACGAACUGUUAGCCUUCUUCUGUCGUGUUCACUUGGACCAAAUUCGGACAACCGUAUUGUAAUCCGCGUUAUUAAGAAAUUUGUUUUCUUAUGACAAAUUGUUCUAUUUAGCAAUUGAAUAUGAAUCAACACCUCCUUUCUAUGAUGAUGUAAUGCAAUGCAAUCAUGAACAAACAAAACACGUUAGUACAGAAAUAAACAACCAACAAAGUACCUAAUCGGGUGAUCACUAGGGGUUCGGAGUGGCUCUACCUAAGGUAAGCUCCUAGGUCUCUCUAUAUGUUGGUUGGUUCUAGAGUAAGGGUACCCGAACCAGUAGAUUCCUCGAUCCUCACCCAUUAUAGGCUCAUGUAGAUCGAGUUCGGUUCGAGGGGAUACAUUUCCCUAUGAUUAUGCAGAGAUGAAAAUCUCACGAAAUCAUAGGUACGGAUGUACCCCGGAAGGAAUCCACUAGCCCAUGCGGAGGUGAAAACCUCACGAAAGCGUAGUUUCUUACUCCCACUUAGAAGGUGUAACGACAGCGGUCAUGUAAUGCAAUGCAACAUCAUUCUACUAGACCCACAUCAAAACGAUCAUAUAAUCGAAUGCAAAAAACAAAUUUUCAAUUUCUGACAAAAGGGCAACAAAUAAUCAAAUUUAUGGCUAGACUCUCUCUAAUCCCCAGUGGAGUCACCAAGCUGUCGAAACCAUCCCUUUUUCAAAUUUUAUAAUUUUAAAUUUAAUGAAAAAUGGGGGAAUCGACUUUUGAAAAAAAUAGAAAUAAGGGAGUCGCCACCGAUCUUUUUGUUUUGGGUGUGAUCGGAUCACCUAAAAAUUUGGUUAUUUUAAUAAAAGAUUUGCGAUUUACUAAAACAAUGACUCUGGUCUACGAAAAUUUUGGAAAAAUGGGCUCGAGAGUCGGUUACGCAUGAGGAAGGAUUAGCACCCUCACUACGCCCAAAAUUGGUACCAAAUCAAUUAAAUACUGUCCUUAUGUCUAAAAAAUGUUUUUCGGAAUGUGGCUCAUUUUAAUAAAAGUUGAAUAACUCGAGUUGAUUGGCAAAAAUCUUUUUGUCUCGACGUCUGAAAAUUUAUAGUUUGAAAAUCACGAAAGGAUGCUCAACUAUUUAGUCCAACAAAAAAUCGAAACCCAGCACAGUAGGGCACGAUUUCUCAAAUUUCCGAACAUUGAACAUUGCCUCUCGAGUGAAAUUUCGAAGGGGUCUUCGAUUGUUUUGAGCAGAUGAAAAGGCACAACCCAGCACGAUAGGGCUCAAUUUUCAAACCGCCAAACAUCGGACAUCGCCUUCGUUUUGAAAGGUUUUUAAUAAACAUGAAUGAAAACCUAAAGAAAUAUUAGAUUGUUUUGAGCAAACGAGAAAUCACAACCCAGCUCGAUAGGGCAUGAUUCCCGAAUUGUUAAACACCGAAUAUUGCCUUCGUUUUAAAGGAUUUUUAGAAGACACGGAUGAAAUUCUAAAGGGACCUUCGAUUACUUUGAGCAAACGAGAAAUUGCAACCUAACACGUUAGGGUACGAUUCCGCGAAUUACCAAGUAUCGAAUAUCGCUUUCGUUUUAAAGAAUUCCUAAUAGUUGUGAAGCUAGCUUAAAACACAUUAAUUCAUUUCGAAAUAAGACAAAAUUAAUCAUAAAGAUUUGAAUUUUAUAAAGAGAACCACAUUUCGCAAACUAAAUGAAAAAUGAUGACAUGGGAUAAAGGGUACGUACGAGACAUGGUCCAUUAAUAAACUAAUAAUUAAGCGGGACUAAUCAAAAAAGGUAUUACGAUUACGAUAAUGCGUGGAGAAUAAUUAACAUAAUAAUACAAUGAUGAAAAUGAUAACAUAACAAUCAUACAAGCAGAACAAUACAUACAAUAAUAUGUCACAACAAUACACAUAGCAUGAUAUAGAAUAACUAAUGCAAAAUAUAAAAACAACAUUGCAAUUAGAAGCCAAUGUGCUAAAAGACGGUUUUAAAAAAACGAAUAAAUGGGCCCAUACAUAUGGGUUGACCAAUUUGUAUAUAAAAGAAAACCAGAGCUAGAUAUAUGAUUUUUGAAAUAGAUAUUAUAGAAUGAAACUUUGAAUCAAAUUGCAUGCAAAACGUUUCUAAACACAAAUAUAUUUAAAAGUUGACAAACUUCAUGAUGGUUUAAGUAAUAUAUCUAAUAUAAAAGGAGUAAUAAUGAAGAUAUACGACAAGACAGGAUACCAAAAUAAAUUUAUAAAACAUGUGUACGUGGAAGUUUAUUAUAGAAAAGGAACGUGAAAUUAAUACUAAGACAUAUAUAAAUUUUUUUUAAAAAAUACUCUAAAAAUUGUGCAUACUCUUAUAUCAGAACAUUUAAAAUAAUGGACUAUAUAUACACAAGAGCAAUAUGAUGUAAAGAUAUACACAAAUAAUAAUUUUAUAAUUACAAGAAGAAACAAUAAAAUUUCCAAAAUUAUUUUACGCAUAUAUAGAGAGAGAAAAUACUCAAUAAAUCACAAAGCAACAAGUGUUUUAAGUAAAAUAAAAUAAAAUUAAAUUAAAUUAAAGCAAUAAGUGUAUUAAUAUAUAUACAUAUAUAUUUAAAAAUAAAUACAUGUAAAACAACAUAAAAAUGGUAACAUAUAUAGGGCUAAAUUAAUUUUAUUAUAAAUUACACAAUAGAUUUAAAAAACAACAUGUUUGUAUGUGUAUAGAGGAAAAUACAUGUAUAAAAUACACGUGUUUAGUAACGUAUAGAUCAAAUAUGGAUAUCUACUAAUAUAUAUACAUACAUGAUAAUAAUUUAAAAACAUAUUACGGGGAUUAUAUGAUGAAGUUCAAGAAUAAAUUUGAAAAGAAAUCACGUAUAAAAAAAAUACUAUAAGGUUGAUAAUAGUAUAUAUACGUACAAAACUUUAGUACAAACUAUGUAUAUAAAUAUAUAUAAUGGCGCAUAUAAAACAUUUACACGAAAUAUACAAAACAUAUCAAAAUAACCGAAUGUAUGAGUAAAUUAAUUAAGAUAAAAUUAGAACAAGAAAAUGGUUGAUUUGCACAUAAAAUAAUCUACAAAGGACCAAUGCGCGAAAUGCACCAGCGUGUAGGGACCAGAACUGAGAAUAAACCCAGCUCUAAAAAACAGCGCAGAGGCAUGGACCAAUGUGAAUUCUUGCGUAAACUAUGGGAAAAAAUUAAAAAAAAAGGAAACACACACGCAAGCUGAUUUGGACCGGACCCAAAUGGGGAGGGAUCGAAGUGGCAAAUAACCCUCACCGCUAAAACACGCGGGUCAUCGGGGCAGCAAGCCGGAUUUGGUUUGGGCUCCACCAAACGACGUCGUUUUUGAGCCAUUGAAUUGUGCUUGAAACGACGUCGCAUUUGGCCCUUUAAAAAGGCUAAAAACUGGGUCAUUCGGCCAAACCCUAGCCCCUUCCCCUCUUUCAUUGCUUAAUCGACCCCCAAGUGCUCUUCUCAGCACUAAUGCGCCACCACGAGCGACGGUCUGCGCGCUCGAGCCCUAAAGGAGGGGUUUUCAUCUUUGAAACCCCCAUUCAGACUUCGAUUUCGACGAAGUGAAGGGCGAACGACAGCUAGUUUCGCAAGGUAAACCUCUCUUUCGCUUUCUUUUUUUGUUUUUGAGAUAGAUUUCAAAAUAAAAAGAAAAUAGAGGCGUAAAAAUGAAAACAGGUAACAACCUUUGCAGAAUAUUCAACUUCUUUGUAUUUGAUUCCUUUUUUUGUGUGUAAUAUGUUCGUAGUCUCCUCUUACAAUCGAAAACCAAAGGCUUUAUAGCGGAAUAACUAAAGAAAACAACAAUUUUUGUCCUCUGCUUUUGUAUUGGCUUAUUGCUGCUUUUGUUUGUUUUCUUUUGCAGGUACGGAGCACGGGGCUGUACGUUGGCGCUCGGGUACGGGUCUAGGCUGGAGUACGGAGACGCGUGUGCAUGGCUGCUGGAGGGUACGGAGGCCAGGGCCAAGGUUUGGCUGCGGCGCGAGAGAGAGAACCCUAGGUUUCUGUUUGUUCUAAAAAAAUUUUGGGCCAUUUGGGCCGGUGUACUUUUGGGGUUGGGUCUAGGUUUAAUAUUAAUUUGGGCUUGGUUUUUUUUGUAAUUGGACUGUAAUGGACUGUGGUUUUUUUAUUUGUUUAUUUUAUUUUAUAUUUUCUUUUGGUUUUCUUGUGUUUGCCUGGGUCAGGCAAAUUUGGCCCAUUACAAAUUUAAUCAAAUAUUUUAGCUGAAAUAUUUUUGUGCUUGCUUAACCCAACUGGAAGGAAUGUAGUCCUUUAUUGAGUAGUUGUACUCAAUCAUUACUUUAAUAAUUUACAUGUUCAGAUUUGGUCAUGAAUGUGGGAUGUCCAGACAGUGAUGUUUUUAAACUUUAAUUCAAUGUUGUAAAUGUUGAAGAUGUUAUGAUUUCAUAUAUUCUUUAAGUUAAUAGAUUCCUAGACUAUACAAAUUAUAAUUGUUGAUGAAUAAUUGUAUUAUAAAGUUUUAAUAUUGUC